Molecule: transfer RNA, 86 nt
Organism: Naematelia encephala
Lineage: Eukaryota; Fungi; Basidiomycota; Tremellomycetes; Tremellales; Naemateliaceae
Rfam family: tRNA
About the family: Transfer RNA (tRNA) molecules are approximately 80 nucleotides in length.
Source: Rfam
GGGCAAAUGGCCUAGUGGUAUGGCGUCUCAUUUGCAUUUUGAACGUAAUAUUGAGAAGGUCCAGGGUUCGAUCCCCUGUUUGUCCA